AAACGUAGGGGGCGAGCGUUGUUCGGAAUCACUGGGCGUAAAGGGCGUACAGGCGGCCAUAUCAGUCGGAUGUGAAAUUCCCGGGCUUAACCUUGGAUCUGCAUUCGAUACUAUAUGGCUAGAGAUCACGAGAGGAGGGUGGAAUAUGUGGUGUAGCGGUGAAAUGCAUAGAUAUCACAUAGAACACCAGUGGCGAAGGCGGCUCUCUGGCCUGAUUCUGACGCUGACGCGCGAAAGCUAGGGUAGCGAACGGGAUUAGAAACCCUAGUAGUCC
Molecule: ribosomal RNA, 274 nt
Filed under: uncultured bacterium
Lineage: Bacteria
Description: partial 16S ribosomal RNA
Rfam family: Bacterial small subunit ribosomal RNA
Source: RNAcentral